Molecule: ribosomal RNA, 248 nt
Filed under: uncultured bacterium
Lineage: Bacteria
Description: partial 16S ribosomal RNA
Rfam family: Bacterial small subunit ribosomal RNA
Source: RNAcentral
GCGUAGGUAACCUGCCUUGUAGCGGGGGAGUAACUAUUGGAAACGAUAGCUAAUACCGCAUAACAAUGGAUGACACAUGUCAUUUAUUUUGAAAAGGGGCAAUUGCUCCACUACAAGAUGGACCUGCGUUGUAUUAGCUAGUAGGUGAGGUAAUGGCUCACCUAGGCGACGAUACAUAGCCGACCUGAGAGGGUGAUCGGCCACACUGGGACUGAGACACGGCCCAGACUCCUACGGGAGGCAGCAUG